CGGGGCGCAGCAGCAGUGGGGAAUAUUGCACAAUGGAGGAAACUCUGAUGCAGCAACGCCGCGUGGAGGAUGACACUUUUCGGAGCGUAAACUCCUUUUAUAUAGGAAGAAGAUGACGGUACUAUAUGAAUAAGCGCCGGCUAACUCCGUGCCAGCAGCCGCGGUAAUACGGAGGGCGCAAGCGUUACUCGGAAUCACUGGGCGUAAAGAGCGUGUAGGCGGAUUAAAAAGUCAGAAGUGAAAUCCUAUAGCUUAACUAUAGAACUGCUUCUGAAACUCUUAAUCUAGAAUAUGGGAGAGGUAGAUGGAAUUUCUGGUGUAGGGGUAAAAUCCGUAGAGAUCAGAAGGAAUACCGAUUGCGAAGGCGAUCUACUAGAACAUUAUUGACGCUGAGACGCGAAAGCGUGGGGAGCAAACAGGAUUAGAUACCCUUGUAGUC
Molecule: ribosomal RNA, 439 nt
Filed under: uncultured bacterium
Lineage: Bacteria
Description: partial 16S ribosomal RNA
Rfam family: Bacterial small subunit ribosomal RNA
Source: RNAcentral